RNAcentral lists this ribosomal RNA (264 nucleotides) under uncultured archaeon. RNAcentral describes it as "partial 16S ribosomal RNA". It matches the Rfam family "Archaeal small subunit ribosomal RNA", at positions 717 to 982 of the family's 1478-position model. The record is from RNAcentral.
AGACGUCUACAUUAGAUACCCGGGUAGUCCCAGCCGUAAACUAUGCGCGUUAGGUGUAUCGGUGACCACGAGUCACCGAGGUGCCGAAGGGAAACCGUGAAACGUGCCGCCUGGGAAGUACGGUCGCAAGGCUGAAACUUAAAGGAAUUGGCGGGGAGCACCACAACGGGUGGAGCCUGCGGUUUAAUUGGACUCAACGCCGGGAAGCUCACCGAAUAAGACAGCGGAAUGAUUGCCGGGCUGAAGACUCUGCAUGACUAGCUG